UACAGAGGGUGCAAGCGUUAAUCGGAAUUACUGGGCGUAAAGCGCAUGUAGGCGGCAGCGCAAGUCGGGCGUGAAAUCCCACGGCUCAACCGUGGAAGUGCACUCGAAACUGCGCAGCUAGAGUCCUGGAGAGGAAGGUGGAAUGCUUGGUGUAGAGGUGAAAUUCGUAGAUAUCAAGCGGAACACCGGUGGCGAAGGCGGCCUUCUGGACAGUGACUGACGCUGAGAUGCGAAAGCGUGGGGAGCAAACAGG
RNAcentral lists this ribosomal RNA (253 nucleotides) under uncultured bacterium. Its description in RNAcentral is "partial 16S ribosomal RNA". It matches the Rfam family "Bacterial small subunit ribosomal RNA", at positions 524 to 776 of the family's 1533-position model. The record is from RNAcentral.